This 207-nucleotide long non-coding RNA is filed under the name Mytilus galloprovincialis (Mediterranean mussel). Lineage: Eukaryota; Metazoa; Mollusca; Bivalvia; Mytilida; Mytilidae. The record is from RNAcentral.
AUCCAUUCUGUGAGAGACCUUUUUAUGCACUACCUUGGUACAUGUUUUUGGUCUUUGCAUCCAUUCGUCUCUGUCCUGCUUCAGGUUUAAGUUUUUGAUCAAGGUAGUUUAUGACGAGGUUAAAGUCCAAUCAACUUGAAACUUUGUAAAUAUGUUCCCUAUAAUAUGAUCUUUCUAAUUUUAAUCCCAAAUUAGAGUUUUGACCCC